AAGGAUGCAAGCGUUAUCCGGAUUCAUUGGGGUUAAAGGGAGCGUAGGUGGCUUUGUAAGUCAGUGGUGAAAUCUGGCAGCUUAACUGUUAAAUUGCCAUUGAUACUGCAGAGCUUGAGUACAGAUGCCGUUGGCGGAAUAUGACAUGUAGUGGUGAAAUACAUAGAGAUGUCAUAGAACACCGAUUGCGAAGGCAGCUGACGAAACUGUAACUGACACUGAGGCUCGAAAGUGUGGGGAUCAAACAGG
Molecule: ribosomal RNA, 249 nt
Filed under: uncultured bacterium
Lineage: Bacteria
Description: partial 16S ribosomal RNA
Rfam family: Bacterial small subunit ribosomal RNA
Source: RNAcentral